AUGUCUUUUCUUCGCAUUCCAGAGUCCACUUCGGUUACUCGAAGUACAUUGCAUUUCAAAGCUCCUCAAGAACUUGUCAUGCAUGAUUUGGUGCAUGAUCUUGUAUCAAUAAUCGCUGCUGAUGAAUUCAUUGAUCUGGAUGCUACCAAAAGCACCAGCUGGAACAGAGCUCGUUACUGCCGACAUGCACAGUUAAACAACUUCCAGAAUGAUUCCAAGAUUUUCAAACAUAUUCCAGGCAAGCUUAGGUCCCUCCACUUUCGGGAUUUGGGGGGACUGCAACUCCCAAAAAAGGCAUUCUCUCAGUCCAAGUACAUACGUGUCUUGGUCCUAAGUGGACAUUCAGCUAAAUGUCAAUCUGCUCCAAGUAGCGUGGUGCUGCCAUCUUCCAUUAAUCAAUUGAAGCUAAUUAGGUAUCUUGAUGUGACAGGAUUGCCAAUAGCAUCACUUCCUGAGAAUUUUCAUGCACUUCAAAACAUGGAAACUCUUAUUCUGUCCAAUUCCUUGCUUGAAACCUUGCCUGACAGUAUUUGUUGCCUUCGCAAACUUUGCUAUAUGGACCUAUCUAGCAGUAGCAGCCUCAUUAAGCUGCCUGCAUCACUAGGAAAGCUAUCUCAACUCUUUUUCCUCAACCUGUCCGGGUGUUGUAUACUCCAAGAAUUGCCUGAAUCAAUCUGUGACCUUGCAUUCUUACACCACCUGGACAUGUCAGAUUGUUGUGCUCUUCAAAAGCUCCCUCGUGAAUUUGGCAGCCUUCCUGAACUCUCAUUCUUAAACUUGUCAAGUUGUUCAAAGCUCGCCAAACUACCUGACAGUGUUAGCUUUCCAUGUUUAAAGAAUCUGAACCUAUCAAGUUGCCAUGACCUAGAAAACCUACCAAUUGAUUUCGGCCACCUUCGGAAACUUGAGUUCCUGAAUCUCUCUGGUUGCUUCAAGGUUUUAAUGCUGCCAAUAUCAUUCUGCCAACUUAAUUGUUUGAAACACCUAGAUCUUUCUGAUUGUCACAACCUCCAAGAACUCCCUGAAUGUUUUGAUGAGCGCUCCGAGCUUGAAUAUUUGAACCUAACAAGUUGUUCUAAGCUCCAACUAUUGCCUAAGUCACUAUGCAAGCUGUCUAAGCUGAGGCAUCUCUAUUUGUCAUACUGUAUGUGGCUCAAAGAGCUCCCCUCCUCAUUUGGUGACCUUAAGCUUCAAAUACUGCACAUGAAUGGCCUUCUAGGUAUGCUUGACUUCCCCAAUAGCAUUGGUGACAUGACUAGUCUAACCCAGCUUGUGAUGGAUAUGGGAACUUUUUUGCUGCUUGAGAAGAUUUCAGCCGUUCGAAAGCGUCUAAAUAUACAUGAUGUACAUCAGAUAGAGGUUAGAGGAUGCAGUGAUAUAGUGGAUCUUGUGGGAGCUGAUACUUGUUCGGAAUUGAUACUUUCAGGCCUCCAGAAUGUCAAGAAUCCAGAAGAUGCAGAUGGAGUCAAACUGCAUGAUAAAUCAGAUAUUCGAGUACUAAAGCUUUACUGGGAAAAUGAAGGAGGUCAUUACUGGGAAAAUGAAGGAGAUCAAUCUGUGCUGCACAGGCUCGUGCCUCCUCGCACUCUUGAAGACUUUUGGCUACUUGGGUAUAGGAGCAAGGAUUUCCCUGAGUGGAUGUUAAAGAUCUCGUCUCACCUCCCUUUUCUCAGCGAACUGACUCUUGAUAGUUUGGAAGCAUGUGAUUGUCUUCCUCCAUUUGGGUCACUGCCAAAUUUGAGAAAGUUGUGGCUGAGAAACAUUCCCAACAUCAGGAAAAUUGGUAAGGAAUUCUAUGGAGAGGGCGGGACUUGUAUGAAACUACGAGCACUGCUAUUGAAUUUGAUGGAGAACUUGGAGGAAUGGUGGACAACAGAGACAAGUGAAGAAAACCAAGAGUUUCUAAUUCCUAAUUUGCAUUAUUUGGGUAUAGUAGACUGUCCGAAGUUGAAGUUCCUACCAUAUCCCCCAAGAAGUAUGAAUUGGGAUUUGAGCAGCAGUGAGACAGUUUUGCCGGACCGAGGAUUUGGCAACCUCGCAUCUUUCAUUUGUCCUUCUGUGAUGGUUCUAAGGAACUGUAGUUUCUCUGAAGACAAGUGGGGUAGACUUCAACACUUUCCCACCCUUGAGAAAUUUGAGGUAAACUCUGUUAGUGGGUUAAGGACAUUGCCAGAGGUCAUAGGAUGCUUCACCUCUCUCAGGUCACUAAUGUUGAUGUCGUUGAAGGACCUGGAGACACUCCCGGUAUGGUUGGGUCACCUCAAUUCUCUAGAGGUCAUUCAUAUAUAUAAUUGCCCGAAGCUGUCAUGUUUGAACAUGAAGAACCUCACCGCUCUUAAAGAACUGAUGUUGGAGUGCAAAUACUUGAUGAUAUUACCAGAAUGGUUGGGACAGUUGGCUUCUCUAGAAGAACUUACGAUCUGGGAUUGCCCCAACUCUUUGCCUGAAAGCAUGAAGAACCUCACCGCUCUUAAAAUACUGACGUUGAUAAACUGCAAAGACCUGCAGAUAUUACCAGAAUGGUUGGGACAGUUGAGAUCUUUACAAGAAUUUGGAAUCAAAGAGUUCCCCAAGCUGACAUCUCUGCCCGAAAGCAUGAAGAAUCUCACCGCUCUUAGAAAAAUGAGGUUGCUACAGUGCAAAGGCCGGGAGAUAUUACCGGAAUGGUUGGGACAGUUGACUUCUCUAGAAGAACUUUUCAUCACAGAUUGUCCCAGCCUGACAUGUUUGCCUGAAAGCAUACAGAAUCUCUCUGCUCUGAAGCUACUUAGAAUUGUUCGAUGUUCGAGUCUAAUUGCAAGAUGCCGAGGGAAGGAUGCCCGCAAGAUUCGUCACAUCCCCAAAGUCGUAUUCCGCUGA
Molecule: ribosomal RNA, 2859 nt
Filed under: Triticum aestivum (bread wheat)
Lineage: Eukaryota; Viridiplantae; Streptophyta; Magnoliopsida; Poales; Poaceae
Description: partial small subunit ribosomal RNA
Source: RNAcentral